This 71-nucleotide transfer RNA is filed under the name Megaleporinus elongatus. Its description in RNAcentral is "tRNA-Asp". It matches the Rfam family "tRNA". Rfam says of the family: Transfer RNA (tRNA) molecules are approximately 80 nucleotides in length. Their secondary structure includes four short double-helical elements and three loops (D, anti-codon, and T loops). Further hydrogen bonds mediate the characteristic L-shaped molecular structure. tRNAs have two regions of fundamental functional importance: the anti-codon, which is responsible for specific mRNA codon recognition, and the 3' end, to which the tRNAs corresponding amino acid is attached (by aminoacyl-tRNA synthetases). tRNAs cope with the degeneracy of the genetic code in two manners: having more than one tRNA (with a specific anti-codon) for a particular amino acid; and 'wobble' base-pairing, i.e. permitting non-standard base-pairing at the 3rd anti-codon position. The record is from RNAcentral. RNAcentral also lists the same sequence under 2 other names. Lineage: Eukaryota; Metazoa; Chordata; Actinopteri; Characiformes; Anostomidae.
AAGAUGCUAGUAAAAUGAAAUUACAUUGCCUUGUCAAGACAAUAUUGCAGGUUAAACCCCUGCGUAUCUUA